RNAcentral lists this ribosomal RNA (511 nucleotides) under uncultured Glomus. RNAcentral describes it as "SSU rRNA". It matches the Rfam family "Eukaryotic small subunit ribosomal RNA", at positions 569 to 1081 of the family's 1831-position model. The record is from RNAcentral. Lineage: Eukaryota; Fungi; Glomeromycota; Glomeromycetes; Glomerales; Glomeraceae.
AGCAGCCGCGGUAAUUCCAGCUCCAAUAGCGUAUAUUAAAGUUGUUGCAGUUAAAAAGCUCGUAGUUGAAUUUCGGGGUCAGUAGGUUGGUCAUGCCACUGGUAUGUACUGGUCUCACUGAUUCCUCCUUCCUGAUGAGCCGUAAUGCCAUUAAUUUGGUGUUGCGAGGAAUCUGGACUGUUACUUUGAAAAAAUUAGAGUGUUUAAAGCAGGCUCACGCUUGAAUACAUUAGCAUGGAAUAAUGAAAUAGGACGUUCGAUCCUAUUUUGUUGGUUUUUAGGAUCAACGUAAUGAUUAAUAGGGAUAGUUGGGGGCAUUAGUAUUCAAUUGUCAGAGGUGAAAUUCUUGGAUUUAUUGAAGACUAACUACUGCGAAAGCAUUUGCCAAGGAUGUUUUCAUUAAUCAAGAACGAAAGUUAGGGGAUCGAAGACGAUCAGAUACCGUCGUAGUCUUAACCAUAAACUAUGCCGACUAGGGAUCGGAUGAUGUUAAUUAUUUAAUGACUCAUUC